Molecule: ribosomal RNA, 429 nt
Filed under: uncultured bacterium
Lineage: Bacteria
Description: bacterial SSU rRNA
Rfam family: Bacterial small subunit ribosomal RNA
Source: RNAcentral
UGAGGAAUCUUGCGCAAUGGGGGAAACCCUGACGCAGCGACGCCGCGUGAGUGAGGAAGGUCUUCGGAUCGUAAAGCUCUGUCAGUUGGAAAGAAAUGUCUGAGAGUCAAUCCCUUUCAGGCUUGACGGUACCAACAGAGGAAGCACCGGCUAACUCCGUGCCAGCAGCCGCGGUAAUACGGGGGGUGCAAGCGUUGUUCGGAAUUAUUGGGCGUAAAGAGCGUGUAGGCGGCCGGAUAUGUCAGAUGUGAAAGCCCCGGGCUUAACCCGGGAAGUGCAUUUGAAACUGUCCGGCUCGAGUAGGGGAGAGGGAAGUGGAAUUCCUGGUGUAGAGGUGAAAUUCGUAGAUAUCAGGAGGAACACCGGUGGCGAAGGCGACUUCCUGGCCCUAUGCUGACGCUGAGACGCGAGAGCGUGGGUAGCAAACAG